CCAUAAUUCAUCAUCAGGAACUAUACUUGAGGGUCAUUUGCAAGUCUGCCUACCUGCAGCUGAAUCUGUAAUCUCAGCAAAUACAAUUAUGCACUUCUCUUAACCUGUGAUUUGAGCCUCUCAGUCAUACCCAUAAGUUGGGAAGCAAGAGGUUAAAACAAGCUUGAAGAACAAAGGAAGUCAUUUGCUCAGUAUGAUUUUAUUUUAGGUCACGAGGUAGUCUUUGCUGAAGACCUCUUCCUGUCCACAUGCUUGUUUGCUAUUGUAGAUGGCAACCUAUUGAUUCUCAGCCUUGUGAUUUGUAAAUCAACAUAUUAUUGCAAAGUUAUAUGUUUCUUCCCUGUGAAUGAACAGUUGGCCUGUACACCUGGCUGCUUCAAGGAAGAGAUGUAGAACAUUUUUAAAAAAGCCCCAGGGAUUGGUGGGGGUGGGUGCAUCACUUUUCCUUUUAAAUAGCACAGUGCCCUGCAGAGAGAAAGAGAGAAAGAUAUUUCAGAUCACAUAUCUAUUCUUUCAGAAUAGAUCACCUGUCCUUCUUUGGCUCGCUCGCUCUUUUCUUCUUCUAUUCAGAUUUUGCUGCUGAGGCGCUGCAGCAGGUACAUUUGGUGAGGAGGCUUGGAUAGAGUUUCAGGUGUCCAUGUGUUCUUUCUUUUCUUUCCUAGUUCCCCUUUUAGGUAGAAGAAAAAAGCACAAAAAGCAAAGAAAAUGAGAAUCAGAAAUACAGUGAAGGAUAUAAAGCAAUCUGUUAACGUGGCAGAGUUUAUGAUUCCCGAAUGGGCACCCGUGAUAUGUAAGACAUCAGAGACUGAAUGGAAAGUGAACUGCUUGGAAAAUAAUAAUAAUAAUAACAAAUAGAAAAUGCCCCCAUUUUCUCUUGCUUAGGAGGGAAAAAGUGGUCAAGGCCAUCUCAGAAAGGGUAGUGUUCUGGCGGCUGGUGGGCAUGAGGUUAAUAUCCAUUUCACUCCCUGGCAGUAGCAAUUUCACGGAUCUUGUCAUCUGUGGACAGUUGUAGGAAAGGAAGAUCAGAAAUGACAAAUAUCUACAUUAUCUCCUGGGAUUAAAAUGCUGCAAAAAAAGUUCUUUUAAUAUGAAGCUGUCAGUUGAUCAAUGAUUUGAUUACAUAACAGAGGUCUUAGCUUAAAAAAUAGAAAGUCUCUAAAUGAA
RNAcentral lists this long non-coding RNA (1164 nucleotides) under Pogona vitticeps (central bearded dragon). Its description in RNAcentral is "lncRNA (ENSPVIG00000019853.1)". Lineage: Eukaryota; Metazoa; Chordata; Lepidosauria; Squamata; Agamidae. The record is from RNAcentral.